CGGGUAGCGGAACACGUACACAACCUUCCCAAACAGGUGAAUAGCCCUCCGAAAGGAGGAUUAAUACACCGUACCAUAACGAGGUGGCAUCACCUUGUUAUUAUAGGCAGCAAUGUCGGUUUUGGAUGGGCGUGCGCCUGAUUAGGUAGUUGGCGGGGUAACGGCCCACCAAGCCUCCGAUCAGUAACUGGUGUGAGAGCACGACCAGUCACACGGGCACUGAGACACGGGCCCG
RNAcentral lists this ribosomal RNA (235 nucleotides) under uncultured bacterium. Its description in RNAcentral is "partial 16S ribosomal RNA". It matches the Rfam family "Bacterial small subunit ribosomal RNA", at positions 103 to 334 of the family's 1533-position model. The record is from RNAcentral.